AUGCCCUCUCAUGCCGGAAGAGGUAUAGUCAAGUUUAAACUAUCAGAUCCAGAUUGUUUAUGCAAUCUUACUUUUUGUAUAGAAUGGUUUUGAUCAUCUUGAUAGCAUUGCUUCCAAGAUUUUUAUUUUGUUCCUUACCAAAAGCUAUGCAAAGUGAAUCUUUAUACUAUGUACUGGAGUUGGUAGGUGAAGAUUUAGAAAUUCAUUGAUAAAGGUGUUAUUUAGUAGGUGACCAUCAGUUAAAUAUGGAAGGAAGUAUGCCAUCGAGUUGGGAGAAAUGUUGAUGUCACACUGUUAUCAAUUUAACACUAGAUUUAGUUUUUGGCUGUCCAGAAGUUAUUCAAACAGAAAAUAAAAUAAUUUAAUUGAAAUGCUAAAUAUUUUGUUAGGGUUCUACAUGUUAACUGAUUUGAGCCAAAGAGGUGGUUGUCCUAGUCAUGCUUAUAGUUAUCUAUAGAAGAAUAUGGUAAUGGCAUUUGGAUGUUUGAAAUCUUGA
Molecule: unclassified non-coding RNA, 496 nt
Filed under: Hevea brasiliensis (rubber tree)
Lineage: Eukaryota; Viridiplantae; Streptophyta; Magnoliopsida; Malpighiales; Euphorbiaceae
Source: RNAcentral